RNAcentral lists this ribosomal RNA (338 nucleotides) under Kaindipsocus sp. KY379. Its description in RNAcentral is "partial 12S ribosomal RNA". The record is from RNAcentral. Lineage: Eukaryota; Metazoa; Arthropoda; Insecta; Psocodea; Psocidae.
CCCUAUUAUUAUUUAAUGUUAUUAAAAUUUUGAGUAGUAUAUGAUUUGGUCAGGAAACUUAAAGAAUUUGGCGGUGUAUAUUCUGAUUAGAGGAAUAUGUUUUUAAAUUGAUAUCCCACAAAUAUCUUACUUAGAUUUAUUUAUUUUGUAUAUCUCCGUCUUAAAAAAAUUUUUUGAAAUAUUUUUUAUAUUUUAUAAUUUUAAAUAAGUCAGGUCAAGAUGCAGAUAAUAUUUAAGUUAAAAUGUAUUACAAUAAAUUUAUUUUUGGAAUUAAAUUUUAAUAUUUAGCUAAAUUGGAUUUAUAAGUAAAUUAAUUUGAAUAAUAAUUGAUUGAAUUA